Molecule: long non-coding RNA, 1364 nt
Organism: Panicum hallii
Lineage: Eukaryota; Viridiplantae; Streptophyta; Magnoliopsida; Poales; Poaceae
Exons: 2
Source: RefSeq, a predicted model, not a curated record
GAGCUUUUUCGACCAAACCGACGCGUUCCGGCGUCAACAACCACCACCACCAAAUGGUAGCUCUCUUCGUUCUCUACGCCGUAGUGUCUUUCUUUUCAUCAAUUCGUCACCGUUUGACCAUUCCCCUUCGUUUUCGUUUUUCCGGUGAGCUUCACGGCGAGCUCCUCCAUGGACGCAUUGAAGCUUCUUAGUUUCCGACUGAACCAGAUCCUCCGGGCUCGCGCCGCGCCAGACCCGGCCCCGCGACGCCUCCAACCCGCACCCCUGGCCCCUGUGCACCGCCGCCUCCCGACGCCGUUCCUCCCGCGGCUGUGCACGGCCGGCAGCAGCUGCUGCUCCGACCCGAACCGGCUGCCCGCCGGCUGUGCCCCACGCGCGGCUGUGCGCAGCCCCGCUGGCGCUGCCGGUCCCCAAGCCCGGCCGGUUGCUGCCCCAGCUCGAGGCCCCUCUCUUCCCCCAUCAUGCACAGCAAGUCCCCAUGGCUGUGGUACGGGAGCUCAAGGAUGAAGAUGAGAAAGGAACGCAGUUCAAGAGCUCUGAAUGUUAAGAGAUGGAAGAAUAAGUGUUGAAAACUUUGAGCAGUUAUUCUUUAGAAUGAAGAAUGGAGGCAAGUAUAUUCCUUGAUCAUACUUUAGUCCUAAUAACCUUUAUUUAUUUUAUGCUUGCACGCAUUAACUUGAUGGGUUCCUACUUUGUCCGUAUUUAUUUAUUUAUUUUACGCUUGCACGCAUUAACUUGACGGGUUCCUACUUUAUCCCUGUUUACGAUCCAUGUCCUUGGAGCCGGGUUAUUUAUUUAAACAAUGGGUAGUUUGCUUAGUUGCUAAACUAUGAUUACAGGUAGUUUAUGAAAACAACACUUAUACAUGAUUUACAUUUUUUGGAAACACUAUGAUGAACUGAUGAUGAUAAUUAAUUUAAAUUCAUGGAGCGACCAUCCAGAAAAAUAAUGCAACCACAAAAACUAUAUCGCUCUAGUCUUAGCUAAAUAAUUAGAUGUCUCUAUCUUGUUAGCAGUCGUUUCAACAUAAGAGGGGGGACUGUGAUGAGGUGUUUGCUACUUGCCAAGGGUGUACGCAUGGCUAUGAUCACGACUUGGGGGAGGUUCACACACGCAGCAGCUGAAAUCUUAGCAGGCUACUAACUUGUUGGAGCAUCUUUGGAAAGGCUUCAUAACUAAUCCCUGCCACUCACCUCGGAAGUGUUUAAGAGGCUAGCUACCUCGGGUAUCAAGAGGGAGACAUGACUUGUGGAUAAAAUGUACAACCUCUGUAGAGUGUAAAACUGAUAUAUCAGCCGUGCUUACAUUCAAGAGCGGCUCGAACCCUCACAUGACUUAAUUAAAUUGAAUCUGUGUUUAAUUCA